AGAUGAUGACUGAACCCCGGCUAGAUCGAUGAUAUAGCCGUGUGAGAGCUGAUU
Molecule: small nucleolar RNA, 54 nt
Filed under: Sulfurisphaera tokodaii str. 7
Lineage: Archaea; Thermoproteati; Thermoproteota; Thermoprotei; Sulfolobales; Sulfolobaceae
Description: Sulfolobus tokodaii str. 7 Small nucleolar RNA sR18
Rfam family: Small nucleolar RNA sR18
Source: Rfam by way of RNAcentral